UUUAUGCCACGGGUUUUUGGAUAUUAUAAAAAUAGUGAGAGAUAAAUGAUAUAUAUUACUUUCAGUAGAGGAGAAAAUUAGCAAUUUUGCUUUACAUUAUCAUUCUGUUGGGCCCUUCUUUUAUAUGAAUUAUGGGCUCCAUGACUACACUUUGUGAACGUGCAAUUAUUUGAAACAAACUUAUUUCUUGAAUAUGUACGAGGAGUACUUAUUGGUAAAACUUUUUUUUUUCUUGAUACUUAUUUUUGUUUUUACUUCUGCCAUUUUUUUUAAUCAAUUGGGAAAAAAACCUCUAUUUAUGCUUAAUACAAUUAAUGUUUUUGAUUUUUCAUUUUGAUAGGUUUGACAUGCAUAUUGUAUGCAAUUAACAGAAGGUCGCAUGAUGAUAGCAUAAAUAUAAAUACGAAUCCAACAACCAUACUUCCUAAAUCCCCUUUGCUCUCACUAAUCAUGAAAACGUUGAAGUUGUUCAGUUUUUUCCUCCGAUUGCAAUGCUUUCUUUUCAGUUAGCUUUCUUGAGAUCAACAAUUUGAAUCAUCAACUAAACAAGAGAUCUUCUUUGACCUUGAUUUCUCUACUCAACUAAUAAUUCGGUAAGUAAUAUAUCAUAUCAUCUAAUUUUCCAAUAAUUUGUAGGUUACUUUUGAUUAUAUGCAAUUUGCACUGACUUUUUUUUUUCUAUUCUUCUUGUACUGGAACUAGUGAACAUCAGUGCACCAUCUAAAGGUUAUGGGAAGCAGCUUUAGCUGUAACUAUUGGAUAAGUUAAUGUUAAAUUAAUAAGAUUUACUGCUAAACCAAGUUUAGAGUUUUUUUUUUUAAGUUUGCUUUAAUUUUGUACACUUCAUUCGAUAUCAUUGAGUUCUUAAUUCUAGGAAAAAAGAUACCUAUACUCCCAAGAUUUGGGGAAAUAGUCACAAGUACCCUAAAUUUUAAAAAUAGGGCACCAAGACCACCCCUUCUUGCCCAUCAUACCCUAUGACUAUAUCAAUUAGAAAAUUAACUUUAAAAGUUUUUAAUUAAC
Molecule: long non-coding RNA, 1023 nt
Filed under: Citrus x clementina
Lineage: Eukaryota; Viridiplantae; Streptophyta; Magnoliopsida; Sapindales; Rutaceae
Description: Citrus clementina (C. clementina) long non-coding RNA (CCLE_LNC001624)
Source: RNAcentral